UACAGGGGGGGCAAGCGUUGUUCGGAAUUACUGGGCGUAAAGGGCUCGUAGGUGGCCGACUAAGUCAGACGUGAAAUCCCUCAGCUUAACUGGGGAACUGCGUCUGAUACUGGAUGGCUUGAGUUUGGGAGAGGGAUGCGGAAUUCCAGGUGUAGCGGUGAAAUGCGUAGAUAUCUGGAGGAACACCGGUGGCGAAGGCGGCGUCCUGGACCAACACUGACGCUGAGGAGCGAAAGCCAGGGGAGCAAACGGG
This 253-nucleotide ribosomal RNA is filed under the name uncultured bacterium. RNAcentral describes it as "partial 16S ribosomal RNA". It matches the Rfam family "Bacterial small subunit ribosomal RNA", at positions 524 to 776 of the family's 1533-position model. The record is from RNAcentral.